UAAGAUCAGGAACUUUUUAGGGGAUAUUAGGAAGAAUAAUUUCUCAUAAAGAAAUAACUGAAAUUGAUAAUUAAAAAUAAAAUUCUAAAUUCUAAUAAAAAUAAAGAGUAGUUUUAAUAAAAAUUAAAAACAUAAAAUAAUAAAUAAAUGUUUUUAGACAUCUUCAUUACUAGAUGGUUCGCGAGGUGGGACUGGCGAUGAGAUGUGGAGGUGCUGACAAAU
RNAcentral lists this long non-coding RNA (222 nucleotides) under Gossypium barbadense (sea-island cotton). RNAcentral describes it as "long non-coding RNA (GBAR_LNC000486)". Lineage: Eukaryota; Viridiplantae; Streptophyta; Magnoliopsida; Malvales; Malvaceae. The record is from RNAcentral.